UACAGAGGGUGCAAGCGUUGUUCGGAAUUACUGGGCGUAAAGCGCGUGUAGGUGGCGAUGUAAGUCGGGUGUGAAAUCCCUCGGCUCAACCGAGGAAGUGCACUCGAUACUGUGUCGCUUGAGUGUUGGAGGGGAUGGCGGAAUUCCCGGUGUAGAGGUGAAAUUCGUAGAUAUCGGGAGGAACACCGGUGGCGAAGGCGGCGAUCUGGGUAGAUACUGACGCUGAGGUGCGAAAGCGUGGGGAGCAAACAGG
This 253-nucleotide ribosomal RNA is filed under the name uncultured bacterium. RNAcentral describes it as "partial 16S ribosomal RNA". It matches the Rfam family "Bacterial small subunit ribosomal RNA", at positions 524 to 776 of the family's 1533-position model. The record is from RNAcentral.